This 331-nucleotide unclassified non-coding RNA is filed under the name Hevea brasiliensis (rubber tree). Lineage: Eukaryota; Viridiplantae; Streptophyta; Magnoliopsida; Malpighiales; Euphorbiaceae. The record is from RNAcentral.
CCAAACGUUGAAUUGGCUCACCAGAAACUGAUACCAUCUGACGUAACUCUGUCGUUAGCCAUUCAAAUGUAAGCAUAUCAUUAUCUGCAACUGCUUGAGCACAAGCACAAAGUGCUUCUUUUAAAUCGCCCCUGGACAUCAUCUCUACCAAAAACUUAAACUUCUCUUCCACGGAUGUGAUUUGGUCGCAUCCAGCUGGAGUCAUUAUAUUAUAUAUGUCAAGAUCAUCUAUAGGACCCAGCAUUGCAGUUUCCAGUUCUCUCAGCUUGUGGGUAACAUAAGAGUCUAUAUCUGAUGAACCGCUGGUAUUCUCAGAGGAAUCAUGCAGAUC